RNAcentral lists this ribosomal RNA (427 nucleotides) under Aeromonas veronii. RNAcentral's name for it is "bacterial SSU rRNA". It matches the Rfam family "Bacterial small subunit ribosomal RNA", at positions 353 to 772 of the family's 1533-position model. The record is from RNAcentral. Lineage: Bacteria; Pseudomonadati; Pseudomonadota; Gammaproteobacteria; Aeromonadales; Aeromonadaceae. RNAcentral also lists the same sequence under 1 other name.
AGUGGGGAAUAUUGCACAAUGGGGGAAACCCUGAUGCAGCCAUGCCGCGUGUGUGAAGAAGGCCUUCGGGUUGUAAAGCACUUUCAGCGAGGAGGAAAGGUUGGUAGCUAAUAACUGCCAGCUGUGACGUUACUCGCAGAAGAAGCACCGGCUAACUCCGUGCCAGCAGCCGCGGUAAUACGGAGGGUGCAAGCGUUAAUCGGAAUUACUGGGCGUAAAGCGCACGCAGGCGGUUGGAUAAGUUAGAUGUGAAAGCCCCGGGCUCAACCUGGGAAUUGCAUUUAAAACUGUCCAGCUAGAGUCUUGUAGAGGGGGGUAGAAUUCCAGGUGUAGCGGUGAAAUGCGUAGAGAUCUGGAGGAAUACCGGUGGCGAAGGCGGCCCCCUGGACAAAGACUGACGCUCAGGUGCGAAAGCGUGGGGAGCAAA